UCCUACACUGUGAGGGGAAUGGGCGGUUAGUCAGUCAGUCAGGUAAAAAGCGAGCCUGAGCCCAGAGGGCAGCGCAAGAGUACAGAACUGAAAAACAAAAUGAAUCCAGAAAUGAUCAGCUGAUAAGAUCUCAUAAGAUAAAAUUGUCAGCCAUCAGGUCAGAAGCAUAGUAGCUGUCUAGUCUCGGGAUUCUGUGUUGAGAGAGCACUUGCCGUGUUAGUUGAAGCAGGAGAAUGGAAGCCAGAAAAGUAGACAGCUCAGAUAUCCAGACAGAUGAAGGGCAAGCUAUAAACAGUUUUAAUAGAAAUAAAUAACAUUUAAGAAGUCUAAACCAGUUAUGUACCCAAGUAUUGAAAGCAAGGGAAGAGAGACAAUUGAGAAGCUUGAAACUGGAGAGUUAGAGGUGGAAAGAUGGGAGAGACAGAGAGAAUUUUAUACCAAAAUCCAGGACAGACAAAAGGAAGGACUUCUUCACACAGCACACAGUUAAAUUAUGGAAUGCUGGUUGGCUACUGUGAGAACAGGAUGCUGGACUAGAUGGGCCACUGGUCUGAUCCAGCAGGGCUCUUAUUAUUGUCCUGUGUUCAAAGGGGCUGGCCUGAUGUGGCAUUGAGGCAGCCUUUCACGGAACAGGAAGCAAACUGAUGGCUGUGUGUUUUAUCGCAGGGACAAAAACCUUUUAUCCUUUUACUUCACAUUCCCUUCUAAGACUGGGAAUAGGAGAUACUCUGGCAGGUCUACCCUCUUCCAUGCUAAACUUGGAGGACUUCAAAAUAAGAAGUGUGAACACACUAAAACAAUGUAGAUCGCCCCAACACUACUAAUUAAAAAGAUACAUUGGUAAUUUUAGAAGUGGUGUAUGGCAUGCCUUGUUUAUAUACUGCCUUUUAGUCCAAAGCCCCAUGAAUACUGCUUUCUCAGUGAGCCAUGAAUGCUGGCUAUGUUCUGUCUCUAACGCAGAGGCAGCGUGUCUCUGAAUGCCAUUUGCUGGGAAUCACAGAUGGAGAGAGUUCUGUUGCACUCACAUCCUGCUUUGGGCUUCCCAGAGAAGGCACCUGGUGAGCGACUGUGAGAAUAGGAUGCUGGACUCUACUGCUAUUUGCUCCUGCUUCACCACCCACAAUACAGAAUCCUCUGUGAGGUUGCACAACUAGCAGCUUCAUCACCAAUGUAAACAUUAAAGUCCACACUUAAACCUUCCCCAUUUUUUUCCAAAUUCUGUCCGCACAUUAUUUGCAUUCUGCAAUUUGUCAUUUACUUUGUUGGUAGACUUUAUGACAAUCAAUGGCUGUGUCAUAGCCUAGCAGUGAGGCUCAAUAGUUAGAAUACCAGUGAAUAUGUUGCCUUGGUUGAUGAGGUAGGGUGGGAUGGGAGGGCAGCAGGCUCACAGGUGAAUAGAUAAAAAAAAAUUUAAUACACACGAUAAUACUCACUGAAAACAUUGUCUUCUUGUCCAUCUAAGCACCAAUUUGGAAAAAGACUGGGCAGGAGGCAAGCAGCAUUACUACAACAGAUGAAUUAAUAGUUGCAUUAAAUACUAGUGUGUCUGGGUCUUGAAAACCUCAGUGAAACUUCAAAUAUAUUAGGAGCGGGGGAAACCAGUUCGUUAUGUUUCAGCAACACUGUUUUCCACUGGGUCCAUGGAAACUAAUUUUCUAAUCAGCAAACAAUAAAAAAGCAGCCUGAGUGAUUCCCAUCCACAGUUUGGAUUCCAAUUCUAUCAAGGGAGGAAAAGCCAGCUCAAUUCAGUAAGGCAGCACUGAACCUCUAAUUGACAUAAUUGAGACAGACCAGCCACUGGAUUGAUAGGGCAGAGAAAGGGAGCAGGUGUCCUGAUCUGAGAAAGAAAUGGAAAUCCAGGACUGCAGCAUCCCUCUUAUUCCAUACUCUUAUAGCAACUGAAAACCCUAAGAUGAGUUGAUUCACAAUGUAAUGAAGUCAAAGGCAAACUGGCAAGAGUCACCUAGGCAAGGGUACUCAUGUUGUCCCCAAAGCCUAUUUCAACAUUUGUGGGUGUUGCUGGAAUAAAUCCAUAUGCUGUGUGUGAAUAAUGCAGAGAACUUCCCCUGGCACAUCUAAAGCACCAGGCGAAUUUCUCACCAUGUUUUAUUUGCAACUAAGAUAGUAUUUAUUCUGUAUUAGCUUAUAUCGCCC
Molecule: long non-coding RNA, 2154 nt
Organism: Podarcis raffonei (Aeolian wall lizard)
Lineage: Eukaryota; Metazoa; Chordata; Lepidosauria; Squamata; Lacertidae
Exons: 3
Source: RefSeq, a predicted model, not a curated record